RNAcentral lists this ribosomal RNA (2069 nucleotides) under human gut metagenome. RNAcentral's name for it is "bacterial LSU rRNA". It matches the Rfam family "Bacterial large subunit ribosomal RNA", at positions 829 to 2925 of the family's 2925-position model. The record is from RNAcentral.
CCAAUCGAACCCGGAGAUAGCUGGUUCUCCUCGAAAUAGCUUUAGGGCUAGCCUCAUGGAUCAUUGGUGGGGGUAGAGCACUGAAUGUGCGCGGGGGCCACAAAGCCUACCAAACGCUAUCAAACUUCGAAUACCAUACAAUGCAGACCAUGGGAGUCAGUCCGCGAGAGAUAAGUUCCGCGGGCAAAAGGGGAACACCCCAGAUCAACCGCUAAGGUCCCCAAGUUCACGUUAAGUGGAGAAGGAUGUGGAAUUGCACAGACAACCAGGAUGUUGGCUCAGAAGCAGCCACACAUUUAAAGAGUGCGUAAUAGCUCACUGGUCGAGUGAUUGUGCGCCGAAGAUGUCCGGGGCUAAACGUGACACCGAAGCGAUGGGUGCAUCUGAAGAAGAUGCGCGGUAGAGGAGCAAUGUGCAGAGGCAGAAGCCGUAUCGAGAGGCACGGUGGACACUGCACAAGAGAGAAUGCCGGUAUGAGUAGCGAGAGGCAUGCGAGAAACAUGCCCGUCGAAAGCCCAAGGUUUCCUGGGGAAGGUUCAUCCGCCCAGGGUAAGUCGGGGCCUAAGCCGAGGACGGAAGUCGUAGGCGAUGGACAGCAGGUGUAGAUUCCUGCACUACCGAUGGAAUGAAGCAGUGACACAGAAGGAUAACUCGAGCAGGGUGAUGGUCAACCCUGUGCAAGCAUCAAGGUUGGGUUGUAGUGAAGUACGCAACCCUAUAAGCUGAGGUGUGAUGCGGACCGAAAUUUCAGUAGGGAAGCGAGUGAGUUCACGCUGGCGAGAAAAGCUGCUAGUACAUCCAAAGGUACCCGUACCGGAAACCGACGCAGGUGGGCGAGGAGAGAAUCCUGAGACGAACGGGAGAACCCUUGUUAAGGAACUCGGCAAAAUGACCCCGUAACUUCGGGAUAAGGGGUGCCUGCGAGAGCAGGCCGCAGAGAAUAGUCACAAGCGACUGUUUAGCAAAAACACAGGUAUCUGCGAAAGCGAGAGCUGACGUAUAGGUGCUGACACCUGCCCGGUGCUGGAAGGUUAAGGGAACAUGUUAGAGCAAUCGAAGCAUCGAACCGAAGCCCCAGUAAACGGCGGCCGUAACUAUAACGGUCCUAAGGUAGCGAAAUUCCUUGUCGGGUAAGUUCCGACCCGCACGAAUGGUGUAACGACUUGUGAGCUGUCUCAACAGGGGGCCCGGUGAAAUUGAAGUAUGGGUGAAGAUGCCCAUUACCCGCGACUGGACGGAAAGACCCCGUAGAGCUUUACUGCAGCCUGAUAUUGAGUUUCGGUAACUGAUGCACAGGAUAGGUGGGAGUCUGAGAGACAUGGGUUUCGGCUCAUGAGGAGACGCUGUUGGGAUACCACUCUUCGGUUACUGAAAUUCUAACAUAGCUCUGUGAAACCAGAGGAUGGACAGUGUCAGGUGGACAGUUUGACUGGGGCGGUCGCCUCCGAAAGAGUAACGGAGGCGCCCAAAGGUACCCUCAGAAUGGAUGGAAACCAUUCGAAGAGCGCAAAGGCAGAAGGGUGCCUGACUGCGAGAUUGACAAAUCGAGCAGAGACGAAAGUCGGGCUUAGUGAUCCGGCGGUAUUGAGUGGAAAAGCCGUCGCUUAACGGAUAAAAGCUACCUCGGGGAUAACAGGCUGAUCUCCCCCAAGAGUCCACAUCGACGGGGAGGUUUGGCACCUCGAUGUCGGCUCAUCGCAUCCUGGGGCUGUAUUCGGUCCCAAGGGUUUGGCUGUUCGCCAAUUAAAGCGGCACGCGAGCUGGGUUCAGAACGUCGUGAGACAGUUCGGUCCCUAUCCAUCGUGGGCGUAGGAGUCAUGAGAGGAGCUGUUCCUAGUACGAGAGGACCGGAAUGGACGCACCACUGGUGCAACUGUUGUCGUGCCAACGGCAUAGCAGGGAAGCGAAGUGCGGAAGGGAUAAACGCUGAAGGCAUCUAAGCGUGAAGCCCACCUCAAGAAUAAGACUCCACAAUAGACCCCUGGAGGACUACCAGGUAGAUAGGUCAUCGGUGGAAGCGCUGUAAGGCGUGUAGCUUGAUGAUACUAAUCGGUCGAAAGCUUCAUUUA